This 484-nucleotide ribosomal RNA is filed under the name uncultured bacterium. RNAcentral's name for it is "partial 16S ribosomal RNA". It matches the Rfam family "Bacterial small subunit ribosomal RNA", at positions 30 to 507 of the family's 1533-position model. The record is from RNAcentral.
AUUGAACGCUGGCGGCAUGCCUAACACAUGCAAGUCGAGCGGAUGAAGGGGGCUUUCUCCUGGAUUCAGCGGCGGACGGGUGAGUAAUGCCUAGGAAUCUGCCUGGUAUUUGGGGCUAACGUCCGGAAACGGGCGCUAAUACCGCAUACGUCCUGAUGUAGAAAGUGGUGGAUCUUCGGACCUCACGCUAUCUGCUGACCCUAAGUCGGAGUUGCUAGUUGGUUGGGUAAAGGCCUACCGAGGCGACUAUCCGUAACCGGUCUGAGAGGGUGAUCAGUCACACUGGAAAUGAGACAAGGGCCAGACUCCUACGGGAGGCAACAGGAGGGAAUAUUGCGCAAUGGGCGAAAGCCUGAAGCAGCAACGCCGCGUGUGUGAAAAAAGUCUUCGGGUUGUAAAACCCUUUUAUUGGGGAAGAAAGAGAGUGUAGGUAACUAUGCGCGGUUUGACGGUACCUAACAAGAAAGCCACGGCUAACUUCGUG